RNAcentral lists this ribosomal RNA (253 nucleotides) under uncultured bacterium. RNAcentral describes it as "partial 16S ribosomal RNA". It matches the Rfam family "Bacterial small subunit ribosomal RNA", at positions 524 to 776 of the family's 1533-position model. The record is from RNAcentral.
UACGUAGGGGGCAAGCGUUGUCCGGAUUUAUUGGGCGUAAAGAGCGUGUAGGCGGUUAGGUAGGUCCGUUGUGAAAACUGGAGGCUCAACCUUCAGACGUCGACCCAAACCCCCUGGCUAGAGUCCGGAAGAGGAGAGUGGAAUUCCUGGUGUAGCGGUGAAAUGCGCAGAUAUCAGGAGGAACACCGAUGGCGAAGGCAGGUCUCUGGGCAUUAACUGACGCUGAGGAGCGAAAGCAUGGGGAGCGAACAGG